AAUCAACGCUGGCGGCGCGCUUAACACAUGCAAGUCGAACGAGAAAGGGUAGCAAUACCUGAGUAAAGUGGCGUACUGGUGAGUAACACGUGGGUAAUCUACUCUUUAGUGGGGAAUAACCCUGGGAAACUAGGGCUAAUACCGCAUAAGCCUGUAAAGGGAAAGCAGCAAUGCGCUGGAAGAAGAGUCCGCGGCCGAUUAGCUAGUUGGUGAGGUAACGGCCCACCAAGGCGACGAUCGGUAGCCGGCCUGAGAGGGCACACGGCCACACUGGCACUGAAACACGGGCCAGACUCCUACGGGAGGCAGCAGUGGGGAAUCUUGCACAAUGGACGAAAGUCUGAUGCAGCGACGCCGCGUGAGCGAUGAAGCCCUUCGGGGUGUAAAGCUCUUUCGGCAGGAACGAUAAUGACGGUACCUGAAGAAGAAGCUGCGGCUAACUACGUGCCAGCAGCCGCGGUAAUACGUAGGCAGCAAGCGUUGUUCGGAAUUACUGGGCGUAAAGAGUGUGUAGGCGGUGCUCUAAGUUGGUGUGAAAUCUCCCGGCUAACUGGGAGGGUGCGCCGAAAACUGGAAUGCUUGAACAUGGGAGAGGAAAGCGGA
Molecule: ribosomal RNA, 603 nt
Filed under: uncultured bacterium
Lineage: Bacteria
Description: bacterial SSU rRNA
Rfam family: Bacterial small subunit ribosomal RNA
Source: RNAcentral